GCACAAGCGGUGGAGCAUGUGGUUUAAUUCGACGCAACGCGCAGAACCUUACCAGCCCUUGACAUCCCGGUCGCGGACUCCAGAGACGGAGUUCUUCAGUUCGGCUGGACCGGAGACAGGUGCUGCAUGGCUGUCGUCAGCUCGUGUCGUGAGAUGUUGGGUUAAGUCCCGCAACGAGCGCAACCCCCGUCCUUAGUUGCUACCAUUUAGUUGAGCACUCUAAGGAGACUGCCGGUGAUAAGCCGCGAGGAAGGUGGGGAUGACGUCAAGUCCUCAUGGCCCUUACGGGCUGGGCUACACACGUGCUACAAUGGCGGUGACAAUGGGACGCUAAGGGGCAACCCUUCGCAAAUCUCAAAAAGCCGUCUCAGUUCGGAUUGGGCUCUGCAACUCGAGCACAUGAAGUUGGAAUCGCUAGUAAUCGCAGAUCAGCACGCUGCGGUGAAUACGUUCCCGGGC
This 459-nucleotide ribosomal RNA is filed under the name uncultured bacterium. RNAcentral's name for it is "bacterial SSU rRNA". It matches the Rfam family "Bacterial small subunit ribosomal RNA", at positions 923 to 1379 of the family's 1533-position model. The record is from RNAcentral.